This 949-nucleotide ribosomal RNA is filed under the name Bacillus sp. (in: firmicutes). RNAcentral describes it as "bacterial SSU rRNA". It matches the Rfam family "Bacterial small subunit ribosomal RNA", at positions 53 to 983 of the family's 1533-position model. Lineage: Bacteria; Bacillati; Bacillota; Bacilli; Caryophanales; Bacillaceae. The record is from RNAcentral.
ACAUGCAGUCGAGCGGACUUUUAAAAGCUUGCUUUUAAAAGUUAGCGGCGGACGGGUGAGUAACACGUGGGUAACCUGCCUGUAAGACUGGGAUAACUCCGGGAAACCGGGGCUAAUACCGGAUAACUUCUUUCCUCGCAUGAGGAAAGAUUGAAAGAUGGCUUUUCGCUAUCACUUACAGAUGGACCCGCGGCGCAUUAGCUAGUUGGUGAGGUAACGGCUCACCAAGGCGACGAUGCGUAGCCGACCUGAGAGGGUGAUCGGCCACACUGGGACUGAGACACGGCCCAGACUCCUACGGGAGGCAGCAGUAGGGAAUCUUCCGCAAUGGACGAAAGUCUGACGGAGCAACGCCGCGUGAGUGAUGAAGGUCUUCGGAUCGUAAAACUCUGUUGUUAGAGAAGAACAAGUACCGUUCGAAUAGGGCGGUACCUUGACGGUACCUAACCAGAAAGCCACGGCUAACUACGUGCCAGCAGCCGCGGUAAUACGUAGGUGGCAAGCGUUGUCCGGAAUUAUUGGGCGUAAAGCGCGCGCAGGCGGUUUCUUAAGUCUGAUGUGAAAGCCCACGGCUCAACCGUGGAGGGUCAUUGGAAACUGGGAGACUUGAGUGCAGAAGAGGAGAGUGGAAUUCCACGUGUAGCGGUGAAAUGCGUAGAGAUGUGGAGGAACACCAGUGGCGAAGGCGACUCUCUGGUCUGUAACUGACGCUGAGGCGCGAAAGCGUGGGGAGCGAACAGGAUUAGAUACCCUGGUAGUCCACGCCGUAAACGAUGAGUGCUAAGUGUUAGAGGGUUUCCGCCCUUUAGUGCUGCAGCUAACGCAUUAAGCACUCCGCCUGGGGAGUACGGCCGCAAGGCUGAAACUCAAAGGAAUUGACGGGGGCCCGCACAAGCGGUGGAGCAUGCGGUUUAAUUCCAAGCAACGCUAAGAACCUUACCAGGCCUUG